This 301-nucleotide ribosomal RNA is filed under the name uncultured bacterium. RNAcentral's name for it is "partial 16S ribosomal RNA". It matches the Rfam family "Bacterial small subunit ribosomal RNA", at positions 509 to 807 of the family's 1533-position model. The record is from RNAcentral.
CAGCAGCCACGGUAAUACGAGGGGGGCAAGCGUUGUUCGGAAUUAUUGGGCGUAAAGGGCGCGUAGGCGGUUUGGCAAGUUUGGUGUGAAAUCUUCGGGCUCAACUCGAAGUCUGCACCGAAAACUGCCGGGCUUGAGUAUGGGAGAGGUGAGUGGAAUUUCCGGUGUAGCGGUGAAAUGCGUAGAUAUCGGAAGGAACACCUGUGGCGAAGGCGACUAUCUGGGCCAACACUGACACUGAGGCACGAAAGCGUGGGGAGCAAACAGGAUUAGAUACCCCAGUAGUCCCUGUCUCUUAUAC